AUCCCGGCCCUUUUAAGGGCCACCCAAAUUUUACAAAAAGAAUCUG
Molecule: non-coding RNA, 46 nt
Filed under: Mytilus galloprovincialis (Mediterranean mussel)
Lineage: Eukaryota; Metazoa; Mollusca; Bivalvia; Mytilida; Mytilidae
Rfam family: Histone 3' UTR stem-loop
About the family: The mRNAs of metazoan histone genes lack a poly-A tail. 3' end processing occurs at a site between a highly conserved stem-loop (modelled by this family) and a purine rich region around 20 nts downstream (the histone downstream element, or HDE).
Source: RNAcentral